Molecule: ribosomal RNA, 2923 nt
Filed under: Campylobacter coli
Lineage: Bacteria; Pseudomonadati; Campylobacterota; Epsilonproteobacteria; Campylobacterales; Campylobacteraceae
Description: 23S ribosomal RNA
Rfam family: Bacterial large subunit ribosomal RNA
Source: RNAcentral
AAAAAAGGUAAGCUACUAAGAGCGAAUGGUGGAUGCCUUGACUGGUAAAGGCGAUGAAGGACGUACUAGACUGCGAUAAGCUACGGGGAGCUGUCAAGAAGCUUUGAUCCGUAGAUUUCCGAAUGGGGCAACCCAAUGUAUAGAGAUAUACAUUACCUAUAUAGGAGCGAACGAGGGGAAUUGAAACAUCUUAGUACCCUCAGGAAAAGAAAUCAAUAGAGAUUGCGUCAGUAGCGGCGAGCGAAAGCGUAAGAGGGCAAACCCAGUGCUUGCACUGGGGGUUGUAGGACUGCAAUGUGCAAGAGGUGAGUUUAGCAGAACAUUCUGGAAAGUAUAGCCAUAGAGGGUGAUAGUCCCGUAUGCGAAAAACAAACCUUAGCUAGCAGUAUCCUGAGUAGGGCGGGACACGAGAAAUCCUGUCUGAAGCUGGGUCGACCACGAUCCAACCCUAAAUACUAAUACCAGAUCGAUAGUGCACAAGUACCGUGAGGGAAAGGUGAAAAGAACUGAGGUGAUCAGAGUGAAAUAGAACCUGAAACCAUUUGCUUACAAUCAUUCAGAGCACUAUGUAGCAAUACAGUGUGAUGGACUGCCUUUUGCAUAAUGAGCCUGCGAGUUGUGGUGUCUGGCAAGGUUAAGCAAACGCGAAGCCGUAGCGAAAGCGAGUCUGAAUAGGGCGCUUAGUCAGAUGCUGCAGACCCGAAACGAAGUGAUCUAUCCAUGAGCAAGUUGAAGCUAGUGUAAGAACUAGUGGAGGACUGAACCCAUAGGCGUUGAAAAGCCCCGGGAUGACUUGUGGAUAGGGGUGAAAGGCCAAUCAAACUUCGUGAUAGCUGGUUCUCUCCGAAAUAUAUUUAGGUAUAGCGUUGUGUCGUAAUAUAAGGGGGUAGAGCACUGAAUGGGCUAGGGCAUACACCAAUGUACCAAACCCUAUCAAACUCCGAAUACCUUAUAUGUAAUCACAGCAGUCAGGCGGCGAGUGAUAAAAUCCGUCGUCAAGAGGGAAACAACCCAGACUACCAGCUAAGGUCCCUAAAUCUUACUUAAGUGGAAAACGAUGUGAAGUUACUUAAACAACCAGGAGGUUGGCUUAGAAGCAGCCAUCCUUUAAAGAAAGCGUAAUAGCUCACUGGUCUAGUGAUUUUGCGCGGAAAAUAUAACGGGGCUAAAGUAAGUACCGAAGCUGUAGACUUGAUUUUAUCAAGUGGUAGGAGAGCGUUCUAUUUGCGUCGAAGGUAUACCGGUAAGGAGUGCUGGAGCGAAUAGAAGUGAGCAUGCAGGCAUGAGUAGCGAUAAUUAAUGUGAGAAUCAUUAACGCCGUAAACCCAAGGUUUCCUACGCGAUGCUCGUCAUCGUAGGGUUAGUCGGGUCCUAAGUCGAGUCCGAAAGGGGUAGACGAUGGCAAAUUGGUUAAUAUUCCAAUACCAACAUUAGUGUGCGAUGGAAGGACGCUUAGGGCUAAGGGGGCUAGCGGAUGGAAGUGCUAGUCUAAGGUCGUAGGAGGUUAUACAGGCAAAUCCGUAUAACAAUACUCCGAGAACUGAAAGGCUUUUUGAAGUCUUCGGAUGGAUAGAAGAACCCCUGAUGCCAUCGAGCCAAGAAAAGUUUCUAAGUUUAGCUAAUGUUGCCCGUACCGUAAACCGACACAGGUGGGUGGGAUGAGUAUUCUAAGGCGCGUGGAAGAACUCUCUUUAAGGAACUCUGCAAAAUAGCACCGUAUCUUCGGUAUAAGGUGUGGUUAGCUUUGUAUUAGGAUUUACUCCGAAAGCAAGGAAACUUACAACAAAGAGUCCCUCCCGACUGUUUACCAAAAACACAGCACUCUGCUAACUCGUAAGAGGAUGUAUAGGGUGUGACGCCUGCCCGGUGCUCGAAGGUUAAUUGAUGGGGUUAGCAUUAGCGAAGCUCUUGAUCGAAGCCCGAGUAAACGGCGGCCGUAACUAUAACGGUCCUAAGGUAGCGAAAUUCCUUGUCGGUUAAAUACCGACCUGCAUGAAUGGCGUAACGAGAUGGGAGCUGUCUCAAAGAGGGAUCCAGUGAAAUUGUAGUGGAGGUGAAAAUUCCUCCUACCCGCGGCAAGACGGAAAGACCCCGUGGACCUUUACUACAGCUUGACACUGCUAUUUGGAUAAGAAUGUGCAGGAUAGGUGGGAGGCUUUGAGUAUAUGACGCCAGUUGUAUAUGAGCCAUUGUUGAGAUACCACUCUUUCUUAUUUGGGUAGCUAACCAGCUUGAGUUAUCCUCAAGUGGGACAAUGUCUGGUGGGUAGUUUGACUGGGGCGGUCGCCUCCCAAAUAAUAACGGAGGCUUACAAAGGUUGGCUCAGAACGGUUGGAAAUCGUUCGUAGAGUAUAAAGGUAUAAGCCAGCUUAACUGCAAGACAUACAAGUCAAGCAGAGACGAAAGUCGGUCUUAGUGAUCCGGUGGUUCUGUGUGGAAGGGCCAUCGCUCAAAGGAUAAAAGGUACCCCGGGGAUAACAGGCUGAUCUCCCCCAAGAGCUCACAUCGACGGGGAGGUUUGGCACCUCGAUGUCGGCUCAUCGCAUCCUGGGGCUGGAGCAGGUCCCAAGGGUAUGGCUGUUCGCCAUUUAAAGCGGUACGCGAGCUGGGUUCAGAACGUCGUGAGACAGUUCGGUCCCUAUCUGCCGUGGGCGUAAGAAGAUUGAAGAGAUUUGACCCUAGUACGAGAGGACCGGGUUGAACAAACCACUGGUGUAGCUGUUGUUCUGCCAAGAGCAUCGCAGCGUAGCUAAGUUUGGAAAGGAUAAACGCUGAAAGCAUCUAAGCGUGAAGCCAACUCUAAGAUGAAUCUUCUCUAAGCUCUCUAGAAGACUACUAGUUUGAUAGGCUGGGUGUGUAAUGGAUGAAAGUCCUUUAGCUGACCAGUACUAAUAGAGCGUUUGGCUUAUCUUUAAUAAAGCAU